AGUGCGACAGCCUUAUGCUCCCACACUCAUGGCACCUGAGUUCUUAUCCGGCGUCCGGGAGGAAUGAGGUCACAUGAACGAACUGAAGAUGAUUUUUAGAGGAUUUUUAGAAGGAAAGGUAACCUUUGCUCCGACAUAUAAGUAUGACUUGUUUUCUGACGACUAUGACACCAGUGAAAAGUGCCGCACCCCUGCAUGGACAGACCGUGUCCUUUGGAGAAGGAGGAAAUGGCCUUUUGAUAGAUCAGCUGAAGAUCUAGAUCUUCUAAAUGCUAGUUUUCAAGAUGAAAGCAAAAUCCUGUACACGUGGACUCCAGGCACUUUGCUGCACUAUGGAAGAGCUGAGCUGAAGACUUCUGACCAUAGGCCUGUCAUUGCCCUGAUUGAUAUAGAUAUAUUUGAAGUUGAAGCUGAAGAGAGGCAAAACAUUUAUAAAGAAGUAAUUGCAGUUCAGGGUCCACCAGAUGGUACAGUAUUGGUCUCAAUCAAAAGUUCUUCACCAGAAAAUAAUUUUUUUGAUGAUGCCUUGAUUGAUGAGCUUCUGCAGCAGUUUGCAAGUUUUGGUGAAGUUAUACUUA
RNAcentral lists this small RNA (578 nucleotides) under Pongo abelii (Sumatran orangutan). RNAcentral's name for it is "processed transcript". Lineage: Eukaryota; Metazoa; Chordata; Mammalia; Primates; Hominidae. The record is from RNAcentral.